This is a long non-coding RNA of Hydra vulgaris (swiftwater hydra), 1056 nucleotides long. RefSeq lists it as uncharacterized. The record is from RefSeq and is a predicted model, not a curated record. Lineage: Eukaryota; Metazoa; Cnidaria; Hydrozoa; Anthoathecata; Hydridae.
AGGUAAAAAAAUAGCGAUUUUUGUGAAAAAAUGUGUUUUUUAGUUUAUCAGCCAACUUUGUUUAAAAUUUAAUUGGCUUUUUAACCAUAUAUAACAUGAUAUGGGUUAAUUAAUAAAAAAAUGUAAAAAAAUUGUUUUAGUUGGUAAGAGUAAAAAAAAUUUACUUAACAACCGCAUAGCAACCAAUAAUUUUUUAUAGAUAUAUUACCCAAAGACCUAGAUUUAAACAAUUAUUUCUUUUCAUGGGUCUGUAUAAUUAACUAAACUUUUGAACCAGAGUUAUUUUUAGCAAAGCCGUAUGUUUUGAUGUUAUUUGUUAAGCAGAAAGAAAAAAGUUUAAAGUUGCCUGGAUGGCGCAACACAAAAUCCAAAUGAGGCUUUCAACCAGAUAAUCUGGAAAAAGUGUCCAAAAAAUAUUUUUGUUACUAAAAAGCUCUUGCCUGGAAGUUUUAUGAUCCAAGGAUCGUGGAAGAAGGACGUAUCAAGAGUAAAGAACACGAUUAAAAAUUCAACUCCAAAGCAAAAAAGGGCUAGAAGGAAAAGGAGAUGUAUCAGGAAGGGUUAUAUUGAUAAGGAGAAAGAAAAAGAGGGAGUAGACUCUUAUAUUACAGGAAAUUUUUAAUUAAUAAAUUGUUUUUAAACUUUGAAGCUUGAUUUCUCAAUUGUUUGUUUUUGCCUGACUGCAAUAAGCGAAUCAUUCAUAUCUUUUUAACCAGAUAUGCAAUUGAGUUCAAAUUUUCAGGGUUGUUUCUUUAUAGAUAGAACUGCAAUAGCUUACUAGAACUAAUCUUAAGCUUGUUUCCAUUUGAAUAUAUUCAUAUUUUACCUUUUUUUUUUGUAUCAAUAAUUUCCGUUAAAAUUGAAAAAGCUGCCAUUUUAAAAAUAAUAAUUAUUUUUAGUUUUUCUAGUAAGCUUUUGUUUAAUACACUAUAAUCUAUCAGUGUUGUAAGUUUUGGCUUAUAAUGUCAUAAAGAGGCUGAGAAAAUGUUGUUUUCUUUUUUCAUUGAUUUUUUUGCAUUUUAUGCUGAUUCAGCAAAAAAAAAAAGGAAAUUAUUU